Pseudophryne corroboree (corroboree frog) is the source of this 495-nucleotide non-coding RNA. Lineage: Eukaryota; Metazoa; Chordata; Amphibia; Anura; Myobatrachidae. The record is from the annotation of a RefSeq genome assembly.
ACUAAACACAGCAACAAUGAAAGCUGCACUGGGCUUGUUUAUAUCACUAACAUGUUUAUCAGGUGUCCAGUGUGAUGCCCGACUUGCCCAAUCAUCAGACCCAGUGCUGGUAAAGCCUGGAAACUCUCAUAAACUGUCCUGUGAAGGAUCUGGGUUCACUUUCAGCAGCUAUAGGAUGCACUGGGUUAGACAGUUUCCUGACAGAAGGUUACAAUGGGUGUCUGCUAUUAGAGGUUUGUAGAUAAAAGACCAAGAGAGGGAAACCCACUAAGAAGGAGAAGUGAGGACUUAUAUGGGACCUACUUCCUUCAGAUACAACAAGCUGUGAAUUAACAGAAUCAAACAGACCCUUUCAAAGGAAGCCAGCUACUAGAGUUUCAUGCAACUAUAGAGGCCACCCAGUCCUGAAUUUGGAUAAGUGAAGGCUUCUAAACUAAUAAGUGUCAGCCUCAAUAUGCCCAUUUUAUAUGUUUAUUCCAUAUUCUGAUCAUUUAU